UACGUAGGGGGCAAGCGUUGUCCGGAAUUAUUGGGCGUAAAGGGCUCGUAGGCGGUUUCUUAAGUCUGAUGUGAAAGCCCACAGCUCAACUGUGGAGGGUCAUUGGAAACUGGGGAACUUGAGUGCAGAAGAGGAGAGUGGAAUUCCACGUGUAGCGGUGAAAUGCGUAGAUAUAUGGAGGAACACCGGUGGCGAAAGCGGCUCUCUGGACUGUAACUGACACUGAGAUGCGAAAGCGUGGGGAGCGAACGGG
RNAcentral lists this ribosomal RNA (253 nucleotides) under uncultured microorganism. Its description in RNAcentral is "partial 16S ribosomal RNA". It matches the Rfam family "Bacterial small subunit ribosomal RNA", at positions 524 to 776 of the family's 1533-position model. The record is from RNAcentral.